Long non-coding RNA from Epinephelus moara (kelp grouper), 324 nucleotides. RefSeq lists it as uncharacterized. NCBI's taxonomy places the organism in Eukaryota, Metazoa, Chordata, Actinopteri, Perciformes, Serranidae. The record is from RefSeq and is a predicted model, not a curated record. The transcript is spliced from 3 exons.
AAAAAAUUCCAGAGGACACGCCCAUAAUUUUAAACUGCCCGGGAUCUUCAUGGUGGAAAGAGCGGUCUUUUACAGAUGGGGAACUUUUUAAUGGACAGAGGAAGGCUGUGAGGACAAAGGCAGAGUGCAAAACCCUGUUUUGUGAAUUCCAUAGCAGCCCUAUUGGAGGCCACAGCGGGAUUUUUAAAACAAGAAAUGCUUUGUCCAGUCGAUUCUACUGGCCAGGAAUCUCUACUGACAUUGAGAAAUGGGUCAGUGAAUGUGAUCAGUGCCAAAGGGUUGGAAAACCACUUGUGACUGAUGCUAAACUGGAAAGUAUUAAGG